UGGGGAAUUUUGGACAAUGGGCGCAAGCCUGAUCCAGCAAUGCCGCGUGCAGGAAGAAGGCCUUCGGGUUGUAAACUGCUUUUGUCAGGGAAGAAAUCUUCUGGGCUAAUACCCCGGGAGGAUGACGGUACCUGAAGAAUAAGCACCGGCUAACUACGUGCCAGCAGCCGCGGUAAUACGUAGGGUGCGAGCGUUAAAUCGGAAUUACUGGGCGUAAAGCGUGCGCAGGCGGUUAUGUAAGACAGAUGUGAAAUCCCCGGGCUCAAACCUGGGAACUGCAUUUUGUGACUGCAUGACUGGAGUGCGGCAGAGGGGGGAUGGAAUUCCGCGUGUAGCAGUGAAAAUGCGUNGAUAUGCGGAGGAACACCGAUGGCGAAGGCAAUCCCCUGGGCCUGCACUGACGCUCAUGCACGAAAGCGUGGGGAGCAAAACAGGAUUAGAUACCCUGGUAGUCCACGCCCUAAAACGAUGUCAACUGGUUGUUGGACGGCUUGCUGUUCAGUGACGAAGCUAACGCGUGAAGUUGACCGCCUGGGGGGAGUACGGCCGCAAGGUUGAAAACUCAAAUGAAUUGACGGGGGUCAUA
Molecule: ribosomal RNA, 586 nt
Filed under: uncultured bacterium
Lineage: Bacteria
Description: partial 16S ribosomal RNA
Rfam family: Bacterial small subunit ribosomal RNA
Source: RNAcentral